UUAGAAUUCUAAUCGACCUAACUUCUUAUUUUAAAAUGCUAGCACCAGGGCUACGCAAUUGAUUUAUUCGAUUUCAAACCAAACCGAAGUAAUAAAAUUGAAAAUUAAAAUUCAAGAAAAAUUGAAAUUGAACCAAACUGAUGAUAUAUAGAUAACUGAAUUAAACAAAAUGAUAAAUAUUAGUUUAACUUAAAGCAAACUGAAUUUAUGGAAACUUCAAUAUCGAAAAUUUAGCAAACCAAAAUUCAUUACAUUCGCAGCAGAUUUUACAAUUGAAAUACAAGAAUGAACAGCAUUUACAGUUCCAAUCAAUUGAAAUUAAGAAUGAACAACAUUUACAAUUCCAAUUUCAAGAACAAAAUCAACUAAACUCAUCAAAAUGUCCAAAAUUUUCAAUUUUUGUAGAUCCCCAAAGAAACCCAUAGAGAUAUCAAUCAUAGCGUAGUUCAACCGCAAUACAAAUCAACUAAACUAAUCAAGAUGCCAUAGUUUUCAAUUUCUGUAAAUCCCAAAGAAACCCAUGAAAAGGUAAUCAUACAACAUGAAGAUAUUAAUCACAACAUAAACCCAUGAAGAAGCAUUGAAGAUAUUAAUCACAACAUAAACCCAUGAAGAAGCAUAGGAGAUCUAGUCGCAGAAGCACAAACCCAUGAGAGAUCUUGAGUGAAUCAAUGCAUACAGCAUCUCAUGCAAUUGGUGUUUGAACAAUACUGCCUAGAGCCAUCACCAUCUGAGGGAGAUUAUACUCAUCCAUAAGACUCACAUCGAAGUAAUCCAUCGCAACACAACGAGUUGAGGAAGAAAGGCAAAGGGACUCGAGGAAGGAACAGAGCAGCGAAUGGCAGACACAAGGCAAAGAGAAGAAUAGUGGGCCGAGGCGGGACUCGCAAAGAAGGAGAACGAAAUGAAUCGUAGCCACGCAGGGGUCAAGGGGGAAGAACUAGAAAGAAGAAGAAAAAGAAGAAA
Molecule: unclassified non-coding RNA, 966 nt
Filed under: Hevea brasiliensis (rubber tree)
Lineage: Eukaryota; Viridiplantae; Streptophyta; Magnoliopsida; Malpighiales; Euphorbiaceae
Source: RNAcentral